Molecule: ribosomal RNA, 253 nt
Filed under: uncultured prokaryote
Description: partial 16S ribosomal RNA
Rfam family: Bacterial small subunit ribosomal RNA
Source: RNAcentral
ACAGAGGGUGCGAGCGUUGUUCGGAAUUAUUGGGCGUAAAGGGCGCGUAGGCGGUGCGGUAAGUCUCCUGUGAAAUCUCCGGGCUCAACUCGGAGCGGUCAGGGGAAACUGCCGUGCUUGAGUGUGGGAGAGGUGCGUGGAAUUCCCGGUGUAGCGGUGAAAUGCGUAGAUAUCAGGAGGAACACCGGUGGUGCAGACGGCUCUCUGGACCGUAACUGACGCUGAGACACGAAAGCGUGGGUAGCAAACAGGA